Molecule: long non-coding RNA, 644 nt
Organism: Beta vulgaris subsp. vulgaris (sugar beet)
Lineage: Eukaryota; Viridiplantae; Streptophyta; Magnoliopsida; Caryophyllales; Amaranthaceae
Exons: 3
Source: RefSeq, a predicted model, not a curated record
UUGUCAAACUUUUGUUUCAUUUUCAACAAAAUAAAAGAAACCCAAAACCCAACCCAAUUUUUUAGUUUCAUUAUUAUUGCAUCAUCUCUCUCACUCAAAUUGUUGAUGCCGGUGGCUUGAAUAACCCGGCCACUACUGUCCCAUGAUUUUCUUUCUCCUUUGCUCUGUUCUGUCCGUUGAUUUCAAGCAACAUGAACUCAUUUUUAGUCUUUGUUCCUUCAUAAAAGUUGUAGAUCUCUUCGAGUUAUUGAAUUUAGGCUCAAAAAUUUCUUCAAUCGGAGUUCGAAGCUAGGAGUUAUGCUCUCUGAAAGUUGUAGUUGUUGCUGCCCCUGUUGUUGCGUUGCUACAACGUAUUGUAGCUGAUGUAUGCUACCUCUUUUCAGUUUGAUUUCUGUUUAUAAGGAAACCCAAAUCAAUCUGAUUCAAAUUCUACCGAGCUUUCGAGUUCAUUAAAGUGUCGUUUUGGAGGUGGUUGUUUUGCUGUGAUUAGUAAGAGGUACAUGAAGGUAAUGUAUAAUGAAGAAGGUUCGAUGUUCGAAGUUUGCUGUAUGCUUUAUACUAUUUGUAUCGCGGCGAGGACGAUCAACUUUGUAAUAUUAUAAUAGUUAAUCUGUAAUUAAAUUAAAAAGGUUUAAGUUUGUAAA